Transfer RNA from Gloeophyllum trabeum ATCC 11539, 85 nucleotides. It matches the Rfam family "tRNA". Rfam says of the family: Transfer RNA (tRNA) molecules are approximately 80 nucleotides in length. Their secondary structure includes four short double-helical elements and three loops (D, anti-codon, and T loops). Lineage: Eukaryota; Fungi; Basidiomycota; Agaricomycetes; Gloeophyllales; Gloeophyllaceae. The record is from Rfam.
GGACCGAUGGUGUAGUUGGUUAUCACGCCUGUCUAACACAUUGUGUGGUCACAGGCGGUCCUCAGUUCGAGUCUGGGUCGGUUCA